GGACGUGAGGGCGAUCUGGCUGCGACAUCUGUCACCCCAUUGAUCGCCAGGGUUGAUUCGGCUGAUCUGGCUGGCUAGGCGGGUGUCCCCUUCCUCCCUCACCGCUCCAUGUGCGUCCCUCCCGAAGCUGCGCGCUCGGUCGAAGAGGACGGCCUUCCCCGAAUAGAGACGGACCGGUCUUCGGUCGAGGGUAUACGAGUAGCUGCGCUCCCCUGCUAGAACCUCCAAACAAGCUCUCAAGGAUAACGAUGGGAUACUGUGGUGUCUGCAAAUUGAGGGUGUGGGCAUGACAUGUGCACAUGUGUGUGCCACGAAUCUGU
Molecule: unclassified non-coding RNA, 320 nt
Organism: Erinaceus europaeus (western European hedgehog)
Lineage: Eukaryota; Metazoa; Chordata; Mammalia; Eulipotyphla; Erinaceidae
Gene: 7SK
Rfam family: 7SK RNA
About the family: 7SK was discovered as an abundant small nuclear RNA in the mid-70s but a possible function has only recently been suggested.
Source: Ensembl